GAGUUUGAUCCUGGCUCAGAGCGAACGCUGGCGGCAGGCUUAACACAUGCAAGUCGAGCGGAUGUAGCAAUACAUCAGCGGCAGACGGGAUAGUAACACGUGGGAACGUGCCCUUUGGUUCGGAAUAACUCGGCGAAAGCCGUGCUAAUACCGAAUAAGCCCUUACGGGGAAAGAUUUAUCGCCAUUGGAGCGGCCCGCGUCUGAUUAGCUAGUUGGUGAGGUAAUGGCUCACCAAGGCGACGAUCAGUAGCUGGUCUGAGAGGAUGAUCAGCAUCACUGGGACUGAGACACGGCCCAGACUCCUACGGGAGGCAGCAGUGGGGAAUAUUGGACAAUGGGCGCAAGCCUGAUCCAGCCAUGCCGCGUGGAUGAUGAAGGCCUUAGGGUUGUAAAAUCCUUUUUAACGGGGAAGAUAAUGACGGUACCCGUAGAAUAAGCCCCGGCUAACUUCGUGCCCAGCAGCCGCAGU
RNAcentral lists this ribosomal RNA (470 nucleotides) under uncultured Alphaproteobacteria bacterium. RNAcentral describes it as "bacterial SSU rRNA". It matches the Rfam family "Bacterial small subunit ribosomal RNA", at positions 9 to 521 of the family's 1533-position model. Lineage: Bacteria; Pseudomonadati; Pseudomonadota; Alphaproteobacteria. The record is from RNAcentral.